UACGGAGGGUGCAAGCGUUAUCCGGAUUCACUGGGUUUAAAGGGUGCGUAGGUGGGCAGGUAAGUCAGUGGUGAAAUCUCCGGGCUUAACUCGGAAACUGCCAUUGAUACUAUCUUUCUUGAAUACCGUGGAGGUCAGCGGAAUAUGUCAUGUAGCGGCGAAAUGCUUAGAUAUGACAUAGAACACCAAUUGCGAAGGCAGCUGGCUACACGAAUAUUGACACUGAUGCACGAAAGCGUGGGGAUCAAACAGG
RNAcentral lists this ribosomal RNA (253 nucleotides) under uncultured bacterium. RNAcentral's name for it is "partial 16S ribosomal RNA". It matches the Rfam family "Bacterial small subunit ribosomal RNA", at positions 524 to 776 of the family's 1533-position model. The record is from RNAcentral.